GCGUUCCAAACACAAAUCCUGGGCUGCGUCUCAAAUCGACUGCUUGUUUUCUAGGUAGUCCACUAACUAAAAAUGGAAUGUUUUCUAGAACGUUCCAACGUAGAAAUAUCUAGUGUAUGUUUGCCCGUGUUUCACACGGUAAUUUAUGCAUUUGGGUACAUGGUUUAUUAUGCGAGACAAAAACGAAUCAGUUAAACAAAUACUUAAAUUCACUACGGAUCAGGUACCUGUUGAUGCCUCUCCAAAAGGCCCACUUCACCUGAGGAGCAAUGAUUCAACAGAAGCCACAAGUUGCUGCAUUGAACAGCCUGAGGCCGCUUCGCUUGCCUCGACAUCGGACUGCGAACCCAAGGCCAAGCAACAUCAUUGUGACUGGAAGAGUCCCGUUUUCUUUCUCUCCUUCUUUAUUUCUUGGGUAGGGGUGGGGAAAUGAAGAAUAAAUGCUUGCUAAGAUGAAAUGCA
Long non-coding RNA from Pygocentrus nattereri (red-bellied piranha), 462 nucleotides. RefSeq lists it as uncharacterized. The record is from RefSeq and is a predicted model, not a curated record. Lineage: Eukaryota; Metazoa; Chordata; Actinopteri; Characiformes; Serrasalmidae. The transcript has 2 exons.